UACGGAGGGUGCAAGCGUUAUCCGGAUUCACUGGGUUUAAAGGGUGCGUAGGUGGGCCUGUAAGUCAGCGGUGAAAUCUCCGGGCUUAACCCGGAAACUGCCAUUGAUACUAUAGGUCUUGAAUUAUCUGGAGGUAAGCGGAAUAUGUCAUGUAGCGGUGAAAUGCUUAGAUAUGACAUAGAACACCAAUUGCGAAGGCAGCUUACUACGGAUCGAUUGACACUGAGGCACGAAAGCGUGGGGAUCAAACAG
RNAcentral lists this ribosomal RNA (252 nucleotides) under uncultured bacterium. RNAcentral's name for it is "partial 16S ribosomal RNA". It matches the Rfam family "Bacterial small subunit ribosomal RNA", at positions 524 to 775 of the family's 1533-position model. The record is from RNAcentral.